AGUGAACGCUGGCGGCAGGCCUAAUACAUGCAAGUCGAACGGCAGCACAGUGGAGCUUGCUCCAUGGGUGGCGAGUGGCGGACGGGUGAGGAAUACAUGGGAAUCUGCCCAGUCGUGGGGGAUAACGUAUGGAAACGUACGCUAAUACCGCAUGCGCCCUUCGGGGGAAAAGUCGGGGACCGCAAGGCCUGACGCGAUUGGAUGAGCCCAUGUUCGAUUAGCUAGUUGGCGGGGUAACGGCCCACCGAGGCGACGAUCGAUAGCUGGUCUGAGAGGAUGAUCAGCCACACUGGAACUGAGACACGGUCCAGACUCCUACGGGAGGCAGCAGUAGGGAAUAUUGGACAAUGGGCGCAAGCCUGAUCCAGCCAUGCCGCGUGAGUGAAGAAGGCCCUCGGGUUGU
This 403-nucleotide ribosomal RNA is filed under the name uncultured bacterium. Its description in RNAcentral is "bacterial SSU rRNA". It matches the Rfam family "Bacterial small subunit ribosomal RNA", at positions 29 to 426 of the family's 1533-position model. The record is from RNAcentral.